UGGGGAAUAUUGGACAAUGGGCGCAAGCCUGAUCCAGCAAUUCCGCGUGGGUGAAGAAGGUCUUCGGAUUGUAAAGCCCUUUCGGCAGGGACGAUGAUGACGGUACCUGCAGAAGAAGCCCCGGCUAACUUCGUGCCAGCAGCCGCGGUAAUACGAAGGGGGCUAGCGUUGCUCGGAAUGACUGGGCGUAAAGGGCGCGUAGGCGGCACACACAGUCAGGCGUGAAAUUCCUGGGCUUAACCUGGGGGCUGCGCUUGAUACAUGUGAGCUAGAGGAUGGAAGAGGCUCGUGGAAUUCCCAGUGUAGAGGUGAAAUUCGUAGAUAUUGGGAAGAACACCGGUGGCGAAAGCGGCUCUCUGGCCUGUAACUGACACUGAGGCUCGAAAGCGUGGGGAGCAAACAGGAUUAGAUACCC
Molecule: ribosomal RNA, 415 nt
Filed under: uncultured bacterium
Lineage: Bacteria
Description: bacterial SSU rRNA
Rfam family: Bacterial small subunit ribosomal RNA
Source: RNAcentral